ACGCUGACAGAAUGCUUAACACAUGCAAGUCUUUGGCGAAGCUGUGCUUGCACAGCCUAGCCAAGGCGGACGGGUGAGUAACGCGUAAGGAACUUGCCCUGCAGUCAGGGAUAACAGACGGAAACGACUGAUAAGACCUGGUAAAGUCAGGCGGACUCAUGUCCAGCCUGAUGAAAGGAGAUGCUGCAGGAGAGCCUUGCGUCCUAUUAGCUUGUUGGUGGGGUAACGGCCCACCAAGGCGAUGAUAGGUAGCCGGCCUGAGAGGGUGGACGGCCACAAGGGGACUGAGAUACGGCCCUUACUCCUACGGGAGGCAGCAGUGGGGAAUAUUGGACAAUGGGGGCAACCCUGAUCCAGCAAUUCUGUGUGCACGAUGAAGGUUUUCGGAUUGUAAAGUGCUUUCAGCAGGGAAGAAAAAAAUGACGGUACCUGCAGAAGAAGCGACGGCUAAAUACGUGCCAGCAGCCGCGGUAAUACGUAUGUCACAAGCGUUAUCCGGAAUUAUUGGGCAUAAAGGGCAUCUAGGCGGCCAGAUAAGUCUGGGGUGAAAACUUGCGGCUCAACCGCAAGCCUGCCCUGGAAACUAUGUGGCUAGAGUACUGGAGAGGUGGACGGAACUGCACGAGUAGAGGUGAAAUUCGUAGAUAUGUGCAGGAAUGCCGAUGAUGAAGAUAGUUCACUGGACGGUAACUGACGCUGAAGUGCGAAAGCUAGGGGAGCAAACAGGAUUAGAUACCCUGGUAGUCCUAGCUGUAAACGAUGAUUACUGGGUGUGGGCAUGAAGAGUGUCCGUGCCGAAGCUAAUGCGAUAAGUAAUCCGCCUGGGGAGUACGGCCGCAAGGCUGAAACUCAAAGGAAUUGACGGGGACCCGCACAAGCGGUGGAGCAUGUGGUUUAAUUCGACGC
Molecule: ribosomal RNA, 906 nt
Filed under: uncultured bacterium
Lineage: Bacteria
Description: bacterial SSU rRNA
Rfam family: Bacterial small subunit ribosomal RNA
Source: RNAcentral